AGAGCAAAAGGAUUUAGGGAGAAGAAAGAAGGCCUGAGAGGAAGAUGGGGUGGCUUGGUGGCAGCUGAAGACUUGCUGAGGUAGCCGAACCACUUGGCUCAGGCUGAAGAGAAGAUUCAGGAACCUAUAUACAAUACAGCAUUGCAGGAGAAGAGGUGAGAGGCAGCAGAAGCAACAUGCACUUUGGGACACCAGGCUCUGGUUCUGAGCCUGGGUGUUUCAGCGCACUUUUCCUACCCACAAAGUUACCUGAAAAACUGCCCAAGUAGUUGCAAUAGCUCUUGUGAGUGGCUUAUGAGGUUUCAUAAAGAGCUGCCAUCAGACAAGGAAACUUCUCAGUGCUGGCACAGAAGCACUUGGGACCACAAAUGUGUUGGAUUAAAUCAGUGCUUCCCAAACUUGGGUCUCCAGCUGUUUUCAGACCAGAAUGCCCAUUGUUCCUGACUAGGGGUAAUGAGACUUGUAGUCCAAAAACAAGUUUGGGAAACACUGGAUUAAAUAAAGCAUCAGUGCAUGCAUAUGCAAGAUGACUUUAUCUAUUACUUCAUCUGGAUAAACCAAAUAAGAAAGAGAAGGAGAAACAAAAGCACUUUUUUAUAGUGGCUAAAAAGGGUGACAGCAGGUCAACCUGAGAUACACAAGAAAGACAGGAAAGGUUCAAAAGUAAAUUUGUUGCAAUAGGUAGAUUAUUAGACACCCAAACUUUCCGCAAAUAUUAAAACAACAUCAAGCAUGGAUCUAUAAAGCCUAAUUCAUUGACACACAUCCAACAGAGCUUUACACUGCUCUUCUGGCUCACAGCACUGCCCCUUUCCAAGAGAAAUGAGGCAACUUGUAUUGAAAAAAUGUCCUUUCUCUUGGAUGAAUAAUAUAUAGCUACAUUAACUUUUCACCCCAAAGCACAUGAAUAAGGUAUUAAAGGCGACUGCUGAUAAAAUUGCUGGUAACAGCAGUACAGAAAGGGGAGCUGUGUAACUGGCAGGAUGAAGAGGCCUCUCGCUUAUCACCAUACAUAACUAAAAGAUGAAACCAAGUUUAUCAAAUAAGUUUUUAUACAUAUUAUAUUAUUUAUCGCAUAUGCUCAACCAAUCCCAACUUUUCCAUAGUGCAUCGUUAUAUAUCAAUUUGGAACAUGAGAAGAAUAUUCCAUUAUGUCCCACUGGACUCUCCUCCCACCACCAGAGAAGGGAAAAGCAGUUAUUCCCCAGAAUAAGGUUUUAUUACAAGUACCCAGCGUGCUUUGUGUACCACACCUAACAGGUAAUCAUAUGUCUGGAGAAACUUUGUGAAAUACAUAUUAUUAUAACUCAGAAUUUGACAGGGACUUAUAACAAAACUUUGAGGAAUCUGAUGCUAUUCCAAUUUUUCUUCCAUCAAUCCAUGUGGAAAAAUAACUGCAUCUUCCCAGGUUCUGGGUGAUUUAUGUCUCAGUGAACAUCCUACCCAGCCUCCUAUUUGUGUGCCUGACUCCUCUAUGUGAUUUUUGCUGUACGGUGGUAACUUGAAAACACAGCUCCAUAGAGUUUGCUUCACAUGCUGGCCAUUGUGCAAACCAACUGCCUACCCAGUUACAGUGUUUUUCAUCCAAUCAAGUAAAAACUGCCAAACAUGUGCAAAGCUGCUUACAAGAACACAUGGGUCACCCUCCCUAGGAAUGCAUUUUCCAAUAGCUAUCAAGCCUCAAACCAUUGCACACAAGGAUUUUGGACUCAUUGUCUAAAUGAUCUUGCUAUUAGGAAACAGUUCAGUAUGUUCUUAUCUUAACAUAUUUGCCUAGCUUUUGACUCACAGUGUGGGCACAGUCCACAAGCCAUGAAAGUCAAUGGAAAAGCUACAGUUUUCAUGUUUUGUUUUGUUUUUAAUCCACUCUCACAUUGCCUUCGACUCCUAAACGAAAAGCAGGAAUAGCCAAUGUGAUGCCGCCCAGCUGAUAAGGGACUCCAAUUCCCAUGAUCCCUAACCACUGGUGAUGCUGGCUGGGCUGAUGGGAGUUGUAGUUCAGUAACAUCUGGAGGUCACUCUGGGCUAAAGCAUUGCUUCCUCUUUCUUUCCCUUAAUUAAACACCAUUUCUCUAGCUUGCCCAAACCAUUUCCUGUGUCCACUGAUGGUCCAAAUCUCACCCCACCAUUUAUUAUAUUUGUUUAGGUUUUUUUUUUUUUUUAAAAAAAGGUUACAAUUGUGUUUCAGCUGGUUGUUCCCUACUCUUGCCAAGGCAAGGCUCAACUUCAGAGUAGCCUCAUACAGCCAGAUUUUUACCAUCAUGCUGUAAAAGGAAAGAGGAUCUCCAGUAAUUGCAUUAUCAGAACUGGUUUCAACACAUGAUGGACUUCAUGAUUUUGAUAAAUUUGCUCAAAUGUGGCGGUUACAGAAUUCACUCUCAAAAUGAGCUGGAAGGAACAUUAGAAGCCAUCUAGGAGAAACCACUCUGCUCAAUGCAGGAUGCAGCUACAGCAAUUUUGGCAAAUAUUUAGACAGUCCCCACUCAAAUAGCUCCAGUGAAGGAGAGAGACUACCACCUCUCAGGAGAUUCUUGCUCCACUGUUGAACAGCUUUUACUGUUCCAAAGUUUCCUCUGAGAUAACUCCCUGGAAGCCAUUUUGGAUCCUUCCACAGGAGCAAAACGGAAUACUUGGAUUUAUGGAAAUGAGGAGGGAGAUCAAAAUUCUUUACAAGUAGCAAAGCAAUAGCAUCAAGUAAAGAAUGUGUUGCCUAAUGAACAGGGGUAUGACAAAACCAAUCCAAUAGUGAUGAAUGUGUGGCCAAAAAAAUACUGGGAUUCUCCACCAAGCCAAAAAAGGGGUCUCUUGAUCAAGCAUAACCCACAAAGCAACCUUGGGUAUCUUUAUGUAAACAAGAUGCAGUGACUCAGCAGACAUCACACCUAAAAUCUAAAUGUGUUUUACAAGCACACAUAAUUUUAUUUCAGUGAGUUGGAACACAAUAGAAAACAAGAUUUUAAAAGGAUUGCUAGAAAAUAAUCUCCAGUGAAAUAAUCCCAAUGUAAUAUACUUUUAAUUAGUUAGAUAUAAUCUUGCCAUAUCUUUUUAUGGGAUUGUCAUUAAGAGAAAAAUACAAAUAAAGCCCUCUGAUAAAUCCACAGCUGCUUUCACACUGACAGAAUAUUCACAGCAUGCAAGUUAAUAUUUUACAAGAGUUAUUUUCUUCUCUUUAAUCCUAUAAAUUUCUUCCUCUCUUUAAAGGCUUCUUCUACCUACAUUUGAAUCCCUGCCUUUAAUGAGCACAUCAGGAAAACACACAGAGAGAGAACCACAGUCACAUACAGCUGCCAAAAAUAUU
This is a non-coding RNA of Podarcis lilfordi (Lilford's wall lizard), 3298 nucleotides long. The record is from the annotation of a GenBank genome assembly. Lineage: Eukaryota; Metazoa; Chordata; Lepidosauria; Squamata; Lacertidae.